CGCACUAGUGAUUAGAGUUUGAUCAUGGCUCAGAUUGAACGCUGGCGGCAUGCUUACACAUGCAAGUCGAACGGCAGCACGGGAGCAAUCCUGGUGGCGAGUGGCGAACGGGUGAGUAAUACAUCGGAACGUGCCCAGUAGUGGGGGAUAGCCCGGCGAAAGCCGGAUUAAUACCGCAUACGACCUACGGGUGAAAGCGGGGGAUCGCAAGACCUCGCGCUAUUGGAGCGGCCGAUGUCAGAUUAGCUUGUUGGUGGGGUAAAAGCCUACCAAGGCGACGAUCUGUAGCUGGUCUGAGAGGACGACCAGCCACACUGGGACUGAGACACGGCCCAGACUCCUACGGGAGGCAGCAGUGGGGAAUUUUGGACAAUGGGCGCAAGCCUGAUCCAGCCAUGCCGCGUGCGGGAAGAAGGCCUUCGGGUUGUAAACCGCUUUUGCCAGGGAAGAAACGGCUCUUACUAAUAUUAGGAGCUAAUGACGGUACCUGAAGAAUAAGCACCGGCUAACUACGUGCCAGCAGCCGCGGUAAUACGUAGGGUGCAAGCGUUAAUCGGAAUUACUGGGCGUAAAGCGUGCGCAGGCGGCUUUGCAAGACAGAUGUGAAAUCCCCGGGCUCAACCUGGGAACUGCAUUUGUGACUGCAUGGCUAGAGUACGGUAGAGGGGGAUGGAAUUCCGCGUGUAGCAGUGAAAUGGGUUAC
Molecule: ribosomal RNA, 703 nt
Filed under: uncultured bacterium
Lineage: Bacteria
Description: bacterial SSU rRNA
Rfam family: Bacterial small subunit ribosomal RNA
Source: RNAcentral